Molecule: RNA transcript, 1885 nt
Organism: Macadamia integrifolia
Lineage: Eukaryota; Viridiplantae; Streptophyta; Magnoliopsida; Proteales; Proteaceae
Gene name: ribosomal RNA small subunit methyltransferase, chloroplastic
Exons: 11
Source: RefSeq, a predicted model, not a curated record
UCGACGUAGUGGGACUAAACGAUCUGAAGUUCCGAACACGGUGGUGCCCUAAAUAGCAGUGUGGAACGCCAACCCAAUCCCAGAGUCCAGUAACUGUUUUUCCGUUUCUGAGACUACACGGUCAGGAGAAAAUGCUUUUUCUUGUGCAACCCUUCCCGCCAAUUCCUGGGUUUUGGUCUUCGACGUCCAGGAAUGGUGAAAUAGCUUCGGCUUCAACUUCAUUGGCAGCGCACAGACGCUCAAGAAGCAUCAGAAGUUCUCAUGGUUAUGGGGUGGCGAAAGGUGGAGGCAGAAGCGAAGAUGACUAUCAUGCAACUCUCAAGGCACUCAAAUCAAGAGGUCGUACUCCUAGAAGAUCUCUUGGCCAGCAUUACAUGUUGAAUUCCUCCAUUAACGAACAACUUGUCAGUGCCGCCAAUGUUACAGAUGGAGAUGUGGUCCUAGAAAUAGGACCUGGGACUGGUUCCCUGACCAGUAUUCUUUUAAACGCUGGUGCAACUGUUCUUGCAAUUGAAAAGGAUCCACACAUGGUAACACAUGUAAGAGAGCGGUUUGCAAGCAUAGAUCACUUCACGGUUUUGCAAGAGGACUUCACAAAGUGUCACAUCCGCUUCCAUAUGCAGUCAUUGUUGGAAAGUGGAAAGUUGUUGAAGACAAAUUCAAGAUAUGCAAAAGUAGUCUCCAAUAUACCUUUCAAUAUAAGUACUGAUGUGGUGAAGCAACUUCUUCCGCUGGGUGACAUUUUUACUGAAGUAGUCCUUUUACUCCAGGAUGAAACAGCUUUACGCUUGGUGGAUGCAUCUUUGCGGACGUCUGAGUAUCGACCCAUAAAUAUUUUUGUGAACUAUUACUCAGAUCCUGAAUAUAAAUUUAAGGUCCUUAGGUCAAAUUUUUUCCCUCAACCCAAUGUUGAUGCAGCUGUCGUUAGAUUUCAGCUCAAACAAACUGCAGACUAUCCGCCAGUCCCCUCAACUAAAAGUUUCUUUUCAAUGGUCAAUUCUGCAUUCAAUGUGAAGCGUAAGAUGCUGCGGAAAUCGCUUCAGCACCUAUGCAAACCCCUUGAGAUUGAAAAAGCACUCGGAAGUGUGGGUCUUCCAGCUACUUCAAGACCAGAGGAGCUUACGUUGGAAGAUUUUGUGAGAUUGCAUAAUCUGAUUGUGAAAGACUAAUUUUUCGGGCUUCCUCGAAAGGACCAGUUCAUACCGCACCCUGAGGUGGGCAUGCAAGCCUUAUGUUCUACAAUUUUGAUUGGAAGGAAGAUCACAAAUAGUGAAAGAGGAAUGCUUAUGGGGUACAUUUGAUUUCGCUGGUCAUCAUCCUCUCAUGUGGUACAUCAGAAUGUGAAGACCGAUGUUCUAGCCGAGGACACAUUCGUUGGGUGGGUUCAGGGAGAAUAUUUGGCACAGAAGUGACAGAACAACUACAUUUUGUAGCGUCAUCAAUGAAUAUGAUCUGGAAGGUAAAGAAAGUCCAAGCUAGUUGCAGAAGUAAAACCCAACCACCAAUGGCCUCAAUCCAGUUAUUGUUGUUUUCCUAUUGUAUGCUUCUCCAGAGUGCCUCCAUGAUUUCUACAGCUGUAAUUGGGGGAGGACAGAGGUUGUCAUAUGGCCAGUAUCUUCUGUUUUGUCCUCAACAACUCAAGUACAGAUAGCAGACUAGAGUGCCUCAAUCUGGAAGCACAUUACAUUGGAUAAUAAGAAAUUUAGGUCACAAGUUGAUGGAGGCAGGUGACAAGGGUGCUCUCUUUCUUUCCCUAUCUUCUUGGAAGCAACUACCCACCCAAACCUGAAAUGAGGUUCCUUGGGUGAAGGGUGAUGGCAGAUGGGCCUGGCUUCCUAGUUAUAUGUGUUCAACUGCAAAUGGCAGAUUCAAGUGAGAAUAGCUC